GAGACCUCAGGUCAGGCGGGGCUACCCGCUGAAUUUAAGCAUAUCAAUAAGCGGAGGAAAAGAAACUAACAAGGAUUCCCUUAGUAACGGCGAGCGAACCGGGAAGAGCCCACCAUGAGAAUCGGCCGCCCUUGGCGUUCGA
Molecule: ribosomal RNA, 142 nt
Filed under: Astragalus membranaceus
Lineage: Eukaryota; Viridiplantae; Streptophyta; Magnoliopsida; Fabales; Fabaceae
Description: partial 26S ribosomal RNA
Rfam family: Eukaryotic large subunit ribosomal RNA
Source: RNAcentral